RNAcentral lists this ribosomal RNA (253 nucleotides) under uncultured bacterium. Its description in RNAcentral is "partial 16S ribosomal RNA". It matches the Rfam family "Bacterial small subunit ribosomal RNA", at positions 524 to 776 of the family's 1533-position model. The record is from RNAcentral.
UACAGAGACCGCAAGCGUUAUUCGGAUUCACUGGGCGUAAAGGGUGCGCAGGCGGUUGUGUGUGUCAGGUGUGAAAGCCCGGGGCUUAACCCCGGAAUUGCGCCUGAAACUACAUGACUAGAGCAUUGGAGAGGGUAGCGGAAUUCACGGUGUAGCAGUGAAAUGCGUAGAUAUCAGGAGGAACACCGAUGGCGAAGGCAGGUCUCUGGGCUGACACUGACGCUCAUGCACGAAAGCGUGGGGAGCAAACAGG